AACGGUCUAUACCUGCGGUACCUGCGGAAGGAUCAUCAUUGAAUAACAACCUUUUUCAAGCUUGGAAGAGGGGGGAGGGAGAGUUUUCUCUUUUGUUCUCUUCUUUCUGGCUUGCAAAAAGCAAACAACUUUGAUACCCAAAAAGAGUCGCAUUCUUUUUCCUGGUUGUCUCUUCGGUCUUUUGCAGCUUUUCCAGCUUAUUUAUUUGGGUUGGUUGAUGCUGUGGGAGGCCGGGAGACA
This 240-nucleotide unclassified non-coding RNA is filed under the name soil metagenome. Its description in RNAcentral is "partial contains 5.8S ribosomal RNA, internal transcribed spacer 2, and large subunit ribosomal RNA". The record is from RNAcentral.